UUAUUUUAUUUCGAUAUUUCGUUACAUACUUUGACUGGUGUUAAUAAAAUGAGCCGCAAGACUAACGAAAAGACAAGCUUCUCGAUAAUCCCGCCGAAUAAUGCACAGAGUAAGAAAAUGGAGGUCGGACCUUGCUGUUUUACGGCAAACGUCCUAAAUUCAUUAAUGAUCCUUCCGCAGGUUCACCUACGGAAA
This 195-nucleotide unclassified non-coding RNA is filed under the name uncultured fungus. RNAcentral describes it as "sequence contains ITS1". The record is from RNAcentral. Lineage: Eukaryota; Fungi.